Long non-coding RNA from Chroicocephalus ridibundus (black-headed gull), 1715 nucleotides. RefSeq lists it as uncharacterized. The transcript has 3 exons. NCBI's taxonomy places the organism in Eukaryota, Metazoa, Chordata, Aves, Charadriiformes, Laridae. The record is from RefSeq and is a predicted model, not a curated record.
AAGCAGGUGGGGCUAGCCAAAAGGCUGCCGGCCAAAGAGACUGCACACGAGCAGAGCAGACAUUUCAUGUGGCGAUCCAGCAUGCGCGCUCCCUCCGUCCCCCCCCUUCGGCUGGCAGGAAUCCAGCGGGAAUCACAGCUCACCCGGGGCGAACACCUCUCUCUGCAAGGUACUCUGGGGACACGUAGCUGUGAGGUGCCGCUGGCGAGGGCACGUGCCUGAGAAAUCACAGGGCUUAAAAGGAUUUGCUGCUCGUGUUUUCUGAGAAACCUCGAACCCUUCUUCUCAAGAGAGGCAUGCUCAAAGCAAAAGUCUGUGUUUGCCUCCUGGAGUUUUCUAUGCAACUUUCUCCUUCCCUUCUGUGGGCUUUCCAGAGGAGGGCAGAGCAACGGGAAAGAAAAGUGGCCGAUGACUGUUCAUGACUCCUCCUGGGUUGUGACCUCUCCAGCUGCACGCACCAGAGCAGGAGACAGGCCUCCUUCCCGCCCAGCCCACCGUUCCCCCAUCUGGCACAGACCAUUCACUCCUCGGUGACUCAGUGAGAUAAAUCUUUAUGCAAGAAGAAAACUCACAGGUCUGGCUGGGUCUAUACUGGAUUGAUACCUGCUACAGCUUCCACAGCUCAUGGAAAAAUCUCCUUCCCCCUGAAAGAAGGUUGGAACCAUAACACAGACCCACCAUCUGCUUUAGUAGCGUCAUUGAUGCAUUUACUUUCAUUUUAACUUGGCUGAACGUUUUUGAGGUCUGCAACAGAAUCUAUCACCAUCAUACUGAACAAUUGUGAGUUCUUCAAGACCGAUAUCCAGGCCAGUCAGUUACAAAUGUUUCAGUAUCAGCCUUUCUGCUUGCGAUAUCCCUGCAAAAAUUAUGGCAAGGAACGACAACAAACCUCAAAUUGCGAAGAUGUUUCUCUAUGGCAGUUUCGAUACUCGGCCUGAAACUCCGCUUUUCCAAGAACAAACGCCCCAAAAUUUCUGCUUCUCAAACACACCUAAAGGACUUGGCAUUUACCUCCAAGCGAUAGAAAUGAUCGUGAAAAUCAUCUUUUACUGUCAAGACCCUAAGUUUGAAUGCGAUCUCUCGCUAUUGUUGCGGGCAAAACCGUACGCAAAUGCUAAGCACAUGAGUCAGCAGCGCGCCCUCACAGUGAAAAAGUCCAACCAUGACCUGGGCUGCAUCAGCAAGAGCGCAGCUGACACACUGAGGGAAGCGAUCCCGCUUCAGCCCGGAGCAACUUCACCCCUGAAGGUGGAAUGCAGAAACCAAACUAAGCAGCUUUGUCACCAUCGCACUGAGACUGCACCUUCCAACUGCCCCACAGGUGGGAACCCAGGGGACCCGCAGGCGCGCACGGACAGCAGCCGGCCGGGGACUCGCCAGAGCUGCAUGGCCCAACUUUUGUGUGCUUGGAGGGCCUAAGCUUGUGUCCUACCCCAGCAGCACUACUCUCCUUGAAGCCACAUUUGCUUCUCGUGCCUUCUCUGCACUGCGGCACAUGUUCACUUCUCAACUGUUGGAUUUCUUCUGCUGUUUCAAUCGCUCUCUGCCACCUUAUCUCUAUCAUAGCCCUGAGAAUUGAUACUGUCCUCUGCAAAUCUCCAAGAAUCCCAACGCUACCAUUUGAAGCUAGGAUUCGGUGCUUAAUAUUCGUGCCCUUAAAAUAGAUAUAAUUAUAGAUCUGUGCAAAACACAAGUUUAUUUUUCCACAUUGCUAU